GACGAACGCUGGCGGCGUGCCUAAUACAUGCAAGUAGAACGCUGAAGAGAGGAGCUUACUCUUCUUGGAUGAGUUGCGAACGGGUGAGUAACGCGUAGGUAACCUGCCUUGUAGCGGGGGAUAACUAUUGGAAACGAUAGCUAAUACCGCAUAACAAUGGUUGACACAUGUCAUUUAUUUGAAAGGGGCAAUUGCUCCACUACAAGAUGGACCUGCGUUGUAUUAGCUAGUAGGUGAGGUAAUGGCUCACCUAGGCGACGAUACAUAGCCGACCUGAGAGGGUGAUCGGCCACACUGGGACUGAGACACGGCCCAGACUCCUACGGGAGGCAGCAGUAGGGAAUCUUCGGCAAUGGGGGCAACCCUGACCGAGCAACGCCGCGUGAGUGAAGAAGGUUUUCGGAUCGUAAAGCUCUGUUGUAAGUCAAGAACGGGUGUGAGAGUGGAAAGUUCACACUGUGACGGUAGCUUACCAGAAAGGGACGGCUAACUACGUG
RNAcentral lists this ribosomal RNA (497 nucleotides) under uncultured bacterium. RNAcentral's name for it is "partial 16S ribosomal RNA". It matches the Rfam family "Bacterial small subunit ribosomal RNA", at positions 28 to 507 of the family's 1533-position model. The record is from RNAcentral.